GAUAGACAAGAAUUUGCUUUCUAUUGAUUAUUUGUAUAUGCAUGAUAGCAGAGCCGAUUAGUCACCAUUGAAAACGUCUUUUUUAUAUUUCUUGUUUAGAUAUUAACGAGAAAUCACCCCCCCCCACCCCCACCCCAAGAAUCCGAAACAGUGUUUCCACAUCCUUCCUAAAAAAAAAAAAGCCCUCUAUCGUGAAGUUGGCAACAGUGGCUGAUGUAAACAUUGGAACAGCUGAUUUUGUCACUCCACGUAUUGUGAGGGCAAUUUCUCAUCACGAUGAGUGUAAUGUGGUUGCGUGA
This is a non-coding RNA of Penaeus vannamei (Pacific white shrimp), 299 nucleotides long. The record is from RefSeq and is a predicted model, not a curated record. NCBI's taxonomy places the organism in Eukaryota, Metazoa, Arthropoda, Malacostraca, Decapoda, Penaeidae.